AUUGAACGCUGGCGGCAUGCCUUACACAUGCAAGUCGAACGGCAGCACGGGUGCUUGCCCCUGGUGGCGAGUGGCGAACGGGUGAGUAAUACAUCGGAACAUGUCCUGUAGUGGGGGAUAGCCCGGCGAAAGCCGGAUUAAUACCGCAUACGACCUACGGAUGAAAGCGGGGGACCUUCGGGCCUCGCGCUUUAGGGUUGGCCGAUGGCUGAUUAGCUAGUUGGUGGGGUAAAGGCCUACCAAGGCGACGAUCAGUAGAUGGUCUGAGAGGACGACCAGCCACACUGGGACUGAGACACGGCCCAGACUCCUACGGGAGGCAGCAGUGGGGAAUUUUGGACAAUGGGCGAAAGCCUGAUCCAGCAAUGCCGCGUGUGUGAAGAAGGCCUUCGGGUUGUAAAGCACUUUUGUCCGGAAAGAAAUCCUUGGCUCUAAUACAGUCGGGGGAUGACGGUACCGGAAGAAUAAGCACCGGCUAACUACGUG
This 486-nucleotide ribosomal RNA is filed under the name uncultured bacterium. RNAcentral describes it as "partial 16S ribosomal RNA". It matches the Rfam family "Bacterial small subunit ribosomal RNA", at positions 30 to 507 of the family's 1533-position model. The record is from RNAcentral.